UACGGGGGGAGCAAGCGUUGUUCGGAUUUACUGGGCGUAAAGGGCGCGUAGGCGGCCACCGCAAGUCGACUGUGAAAUCUCCGGGCUUAACCCGGAAAGGUCAGCCGAUACUGCGGGGCUAGAGUGCAGAAGGGGCAACUGGAAUUCUCGGUGUAGCGGUGAAAUGCGUAGAUAUCGCGUGGAACGCCAACGGUGAAAACAGGUUGCUGGGGGUGUGCUGACGCUGAGACACGAAAGCCAGGGGAGCGAACGGG
This 254-nucleotide ribosomal RNA is filed under the name uncultured bacterium. RNAcentral describes it as "partial 16S ribosomal RNA". It matches the Rfam family "Bacterial small subunit ribosomal RNA", at positions 524 to 776 of the family's 1533-position model. The record is from RNAcentral.